RNAcentral lists this transfer RNA (71 nucleotides) under Kluyvera sichuanensis. Its description in RNAcentral is "tRNA-Met". Lineage: Bacteria; Pseudomonadati; Pseudomonadota; Gammaproteobacteria; Enterobacterales; Enterobacteriaceae. The record is from RNAcentral.
UUGAUUUUAUUGGUUAUUAAUUCGGACUCAUAAUCGCUUGGUCGUUGGUUCAAACCCAACAGGGGCCACCA